CGAGAAAUGGCGUCGACGGUGGGAGUUCCAUCUCUUUACCAGGUUCCUCACCUGGAAUUCUCCAAAACCACUUCCAAGAAGAGGUCUACUUGCUUACCUCUCUCUCUCAACAAACCCUUCCUCUCUCCCUUCUCUCUCCGCAGACCUCGCCUCAUCCACACCUCCUCCUCCUCUCUCCUCAUCCCUUCCGCCGUCGCCACUCCCAACUCCGUCCUCAGCGAGGAAGCCUUCAAAAGCCUCGGCCUUUCCGACGAAUUCGACAACACCGACCCCUCCCCCUCCGACGACGAUGGUGAAGAGCUCGCUAUCUCCAAACUCGGUUUGCCUCAGCGUCUCGGCGAGU
Molecule: long non-coding RNA, 343 nt
Filed under: Brassica napus (rape)
Lineage: Eukaryota; Viridiplantae; Streptophyta; Magnoliopsida; Brassicales; Brassicaceae
Description: long non-coding RNA (BNAP_LNC020598)
Source: RNAcentral